Molecule: ribosomal RNA, 540 nt
Filed under: uncultured bacterium
Lineage: Bacteria
Description: bacterial SSU rRNA
Rfam family: Bacterial small subunit ribosomal RNA
Source: RNAcentral
UGAGGAAUAUUGGUCAAUGGACGGAAGUCUGAACCAGCCAAGUAGCGUGCAGGAUGACGGCCCUAUGGGUUGUAAACUGCUUUUGUAUGGGGAUAAAGUCAAUCACGUGUGAUUGUUUGCAGGUACCAUACGAAUAAGGACCGGCUAAUUCCGUGCCAGCAGCCGCGGUAAUACGGAAGGUUCGGGCGUUAUCCGGAUUUAUUGGGUUUAAAGGGAGCGUAGGCCGGAGAUUAAGUGUGUUGUGAAAUGUAGACGCUCAACGUCUGACUUGCAGCGCAUACUGGUUUCCUUGAGUACGCACAACGUUGGCGGAAUUCGUCGUGUAGCGGUGAAAUGCUUAGAUAUGACGAAGAACUCCGAUUGCGAAGGCAGCUGACGGGAGCGCAACUGACGCUGAAGCUCGAAGGUGCGGGUAUCGAACAGGAUUAGAUACCCUGGUAGUCCGCACAGUAAACGAUGGAUGCCCGCUGUUGGUACCCAGUAUCAGCGGCUAAGCGAAAGCAUUAAGCAUCCCACCUGGGGAGUACGCCGGCAACGGUG